GAUGAACGCUGGCGGCGUGCCUAAUACAUGCAAGUCGAGCGAACAGAUAAGGAGCUUGCUCCUUUGACGUUAGCGGCGGACGGGUGAGUAACACGUGGGUAACCUACCUAUAAGACUGGGAUAACUUCGGGAAACCGGAGCUAAUACCGGAUAACAUUUGGAACCGCAUGGUUCUAUAGUGAAAGAUGGUUUUGCUAUCACUUAUAGAUGGACCCGCGCCGUAUUAGCUAGUUGGUAAGGUAACGGCUUACCAAGGCAACGAUACGUAGCCGACCUGAGAGGGUGAUCGGCCACACUGGAACUGAGACACGGUCCAGACUCCUACGGGAGGCAGCAGUAGGGAAUCUUCCGCAAUGGGCGAAAGCCUGACGGAGCAACGCCGCGUGAGUGAUGAAGGGUUUCGGAUCGUAAAACUCUGUUAUUAGGGAAGAACAAACGUGUAAGUAACUGUGCACGUCUUGACGGUACCUAAUCAGAAAGCCACGGCUAACUACGUG
Molecule: ribosomal RNA, 497 nt
Filed under: uncultured bacterium
Lineage: Bacteria
Description: partial 16S ribosomal RNA
Rfam family: Bacterial small subunit ribosomal RNA
Source: RNAcentral